CGCACGCACGCACACAUACUACUAUUAUCAUGACACAUAUACAGCACUAUGGUUGAACACCAUGAGAACACCAAACAAAGUUGAGAGAGGAAGGAGAGGCAAAAAGAGGGAGAGUAAAGAGGAAGAAGAAAGGAAGGAGAGAAGAAGGAGAGAGUAAACAGACAAGAAGGGAAGUAGAGAAGAAGAAGAGAGGAAGGAGAGAGUAAACAGACAGGAAGGGAAGUAGAGAAGAAGAAGUAAGGAAGGAGAAAAGAAGGAGAGAGUAAACAGACAGGAAGGGAAGUAGAGAAGAAGAAGAGAGGAAGGAGAGAAGAAGGAGAGAGUAAACAGACAGGAAGGGAAGUAGAGAAGAAGAAGAGAGGAAGGAGAGAAGAAGGAGAGAGUAAACAGACAGGAAGGGAAGUAGAGAAGAAGAAGAGAGGAAGGAGAGAAGAAGGAGAGAGUAAACAGACAGGAAGGGAAGUAGAGAAGAAGAAGAGAGGAAGGAGAGAAGAAGGAGAGAGUAAACAGACAGGAAGGGAAGUAGAGAAGAAGAAGAGAAGAAGGAGAGAAGGAGACAGGAAGGGAAGUAGAGAAGAAGAAGAGAAGAAGGAGAGAGUAAACAGACAGGAAGGGAAGUAGAGAAGAAGAAGAGAGGAAGGAGAGAAGGAGACAGGAAGGGAAGUAGAGAAGAAGAAGAGAAGAAGGAGAGAGUAAACAGACAGGAAGGGAAGUAGAGAAGAAGAAGAGAGGAAGGAGAGAGUAAACAGACAGGAAGGGAAGUAGAGAAGAAGAAGAGAUGAAGAAGGGAAGUAGAGAAGAAGAAGAGAGGAAGGAGAGAGGAAACAGACAGGAAGGGAAGUAGAGAAGAAGGAGAGAAGAAGGAGAGAGUAAACAGACAGGAAGGGAAGUAGAGAAGAAGAAGAGAGGAAGGAGAGAAGAAGGAGAGAGUAAACAGACAGGAAGGGAAGUAGAGAAGAAGAAGAGAGGAAGGAGAGAAGAAGGAGAGAGGAAACAGACAGGAAGGGAAGUAGAGAAGAAGAAGAGAGGAAGGAGAGAAGAA
Molecule: long non-coding RNA, 1042 nt
Organism: Oncorhynchus keta (chum salmon)
Lineage: Eukaryota; Metazoa; Chordata; Actinopteri; Salmoniformes; Salmonidae
Exons: 2
Source: RefSeq, a predicted model, not a curated record